AUGGACGGGAAUAACCUCGGGAAACUGAGUAUAAUGCCCGAUAGAACAUUAUGCCUGGAAUGGUUUAUGUUCCAAAUGAUUUAUCGCCGUAGGAUGGGACUGCGGCCUAUCAGUUUGUUGGUGAGGUAAUGGCCCACCAAGACUAUUACAGGUACGGGCUCUGAGAGGAGUAGCCCGGAGAUGGGUACUGAGACACGGACCCAGGCCCUAUGGGGCGCAGCAGGCGAGAAAACUUUGCAAUGUGCGAAAGCACGACAAGGUUAAUCCGAGUGGUUUCUGCUAAAGGAACCUUUUGUUAGUCCUAAAAACACUAACGAAUAAGGGGUGGGCAAGUUCUGGUGUCAGCCGCCGCGGUAAAACCAGCACCUCAAGUGGUCAGGAUGAUUAUUGGGCCUAAAGCAUCCGUAGCCUGCUCUGUAAGUUUUCGGUUAAAUCUGUAUGCUCAACAUACAGGCCGCCGGGAAUACUGCAGGGCUAGGGAGUGGGAGAGGUAGACGGUACUCGGGAGGAAGUGGUAAAAUGCUUUGAUCUCUCGAUGACCACCUGUGGCGAAGGCGGUCUACCAGAACACGUCCGACGGUGAGGGAUGAAAGCUGGGGGAGCAAACCGGAUUAGAUACCCGGGUAGUCCCAGCCGUAAACUAUGCAAACUCAGUGAUGCAUUGGCUUGUGGCCAAUGCAGUGUUGCAGGGAAGCCGUUAAGUUUGCCGCCUGGGAAGUACGUACGCAAGUAUGAAACUUAAAGGAUUGGCGGGGGAGCACCACAAGGGGUGAAGCCUGCGG
This 782-nucleotide ribosomal RNA is filed under the name uncultured marine group I thaumarchaeote. RNAcentral describes it as "SSU rRNA". It matches the Rfam family "Archaeal small subunit ribosomal RNA", at positions 116 to 900 of the family's 1478-position model. The record is from RNAcentral. Lineage: Archaea; Thermoproteati; Nitrososphaerota.